Molecule: long non-coding RNA, 1418 nt
Filed under: Zalophus californianus (California sea lion)
Lineage: Eukaryota; Metazoa; Chordata; Mammalia; Carnivora; Otariidae
Description: lncRNA (ENSZCAG00015017243.1)
Source: RNAcentral
CAGAGAGAGAGAGAGAGAGAGAGCACAGAGUGAGAGUGAGAGAGAGAGAGAGGCAGACUCCCCACUGAGCAGAGAGCCUGACGUGGGGCUCGAUCCCAGGACCCCCAGAUCAUGACCUGAACGGAAGGCAGACGCCCAACCACCUAAGCCACCCAGGCGCCCCAAAAGGUCCCUAUUUGUGGCAAAAUAUCUUGACUACUUCCGGUAGCUAGUCUGGAUCAUUUUUAUAGAUUAUCUGGAAAAUAAUGAAAAUAGGAUUUUAACAUUAGUAAGAGCCCAAGGAGGAGACUUUCAUUUAAAUCAGGACUCAGGGAGAACCCUGGUGGUACAGAUGAAAUGUUUUUACUGGGAAAGCAGGCCUAAAACCAGGCCAAGAGGACUUGUUGGGCCAGGGCCUUGUUGAAGGUGGGGAGAAGAGCGUUGCUGACUUAGGAGGAGCCGGGGCGAAGGCCCUUUGAUGACUCUAUUGUUCCAAGCGCUGCCCUACGAAUAGCGCAAGCCUCCCAGCCUCCUCCGCAAGGGCAGAGCGGGAAACUGGGUCGGUUGCGCGGCGCUCGAGGUAGUCGAGCUGGCACCAACCUCCCUCCGCCUCGUCUGCGGCCCCCUGGGGCAGCAACGACGCGCCAUUCCCGUCGCAGGCACAGAACACACAAAGGAAGCCCCCACCCGUCCUCAGACGUGGGGACACUCUGGGAAGGAGGCUGGCGUGGACCCCGAGUCUGAGCACCUCCCUCGCCCGCGGGGAACAAUAGCCGCCGCCUGCCCCGGGCAGCCCGGCGGUCGCGCGGCACAAUGGCCGUCUCGGGGCCGCGCCAGCAUGUGACGCGCGCGCGCUCGGCGCUCGCCCGGCCUGCCGCAGGGCGCAGUCAGCACAGAGCCGGAGCCGCCGGGCCGCGGCCAGGCUGCCGGAAUCCACCUGGCACACUUUCGGAAAGACAAACGGUGAGUUAAUCACCCAACAGGCUGGCGGCCGCGUCCCCUCUCGCCAGCGAGGAGGCCUGGGGAGGGGGCUGGGGUGAAGAAUUUCUGUGUGUGUGUCGAGGGUUGGGGAGGUGGGGGGCGGGGGGCGGCGGGAGAGGUUAGUCCUAUUAAGAAUUCAUCAAUCACCCGGUGUGCACUUUUCGCUCGACAGCGGUUCCUCCUACUUCAGAGCCCCAAGUCUGGGCCAGCUGGGAGCCGACCCGAAACCGCAAGCGGAGACGCAGGCACGCGGGCCUCCUCUUGGGUGGAAAUGAACUUGCUUUGGAGAGAUGUUCUACUAUCAUUUUGCUUUAGAUAGAUACAAGCUGAAGCAUGAAGCCUUGCACAGUGUUCUGAACUCAUUAAGCAAUGAAAAUACUGGUCCUGUUGUCCUUGGCUCAGAGUGUGUCCUUCUCUCCUUGCCUUUCAGCAAUACCUCCUGAACAGCUCCUGUGGGC